UACGAAGGGGGCUAGCGUUGUUCGGAUUUACUGGGCGUAAAGCGCACGUAGGCGGAUUGUUAAGUCAGGGGUGAAAUCCUGGAGCUCAACUCCAGAACUGCCUUUGAUACUGGCAAUCUUGAGUCCGGAAGAGGUGAGUGGAACUCCUAGUGUAGAGGUGGAAUUCGUAGAUAUUAGGAAGAACACCAGUGGCGAAGGCGGACUCACUGGUCCGGUACUGACGCUGAGGUGCGAAAGCGUGGGGAGCAAACAG
Molecule: ribosomal RNA, 253 nt
Filed under: uncultured bacterium
Lineage: Bacteria
Description: partial 16S ribosomal RNA
Rfam family: Bacterial small subunit ribosomal RNA
Source: RNAcentral